UUGCUGUGACCCGUAGAUCCGAACUUGUGUCACAAAAUGUUUAAUAUCACAAGCUCGUUUCUAGAGGACACAGUUAC
Non-coding RNA from Cinara cedri, 77 nucleotides. NCBI's taxonomy places the organism in Eukaryota, Metazoa, Arthropoda, Insecta, Hemiptera, Aphididae. The record is from the annotation of a GenBank genome assembly.